UGAAAUGAUGCUAUUUGUGGACUUCCAAUAUAAGCUCCAGGUUUUGAGUGUUUGCGCACAAUUUUGACCCUAAUUUUGUAUUUCACUUUAGACUUUAAAACUCACAAAUGUAAGAUUUUCAAUUAGAAGAAACUGAUAUUAAUUUAAAAUCAAACUGCAUCAUUUAGCUGGUAAUGAGACAGUCCUUCCAAACAAAAGAGAAUGCAAUUAUCCAAACCGCAAAACAUGUUCGCAUUCGAAUGUUAAUUACAACAUACUGGUGUAAAUUUAAACUACACUGAUUGAAAUACACUUAUAACUAUCGAGCUUAACGAAAGUCGGUAAGAUCAAAGAGGAAAAGUACAUUUGUACGACACUACUGCUUAAUGAAACACUAUGGACGAUUGCAAAUAAAAGGCCAGGGCAUCUAUAGUCAAGUCAGACCAAAACUGGGAGAGAAGAAGGGGAAGCAGUUAUUUUUCGAGAGAGGAAAAAAUGGCCAAGAAUUUUACGACAGUCCUUUUCGUAUCGAUGAUGGCAAUGAUGAUAUUGAUUCAAAUUGAAUGUUUCAGCGUUGGAGGGGGAGGAAACAUGCACUCCGCAGGCAAGAAAAGAGAAAAAAUGUAAGUUGUACAACUGUGUACAAAGUUUUCUUACCGAAUUAUAUAGAUCUCAGUGCAUUUGAUAUAGUAUAUUCAGUUUCUCAGUCAUUGGUGAGCGGAUUUCCCAACAGGCGGCUAUUGUCCAAUUGAUAGGGGGAUCCGAAGUACCUACAUACUAUUCAACGUGUCAAUUUAAAGGCAGCACUUUCUUCUCGGUUAUUUUAAGACCUUGAGUAAGGAUCCGACCAAGGAUUUAACCCGGAUCUCCCAGUUUGAAAGGCAAGCGUGGUGGUCACAACACCACCAGUGCUGGUAUAGCUUUUGUGCUUUUGACUUCUGAG
This is a non-coding RNA of Paramuricea clavata, 922 nucleotides long. Lineage: Eukaryota; Metazoa; Cnidaria; Anthozoa; Malacalcyonacea; Plexauridae. The record is from the annotation of a GenBank genome assembly.